This 491-nucleotide long non-coding RNA is filed under the name Phasianus colchicus (ring-necked pheasant). Its description in RNAcentral is "lncRNA (ENSPCLG00000018872.1)". Lineage: Eukaryota; Metazoa; Chordata; Aves; Galliformes; Phasianidae. The record is from RNAcentral.
UUCCCAUUAUUCCACAUUAUUCCCAUUGUUUCCCAUUAUUCCCAUUAUUCCCCGUUAGUCCCCAUUAUUCCCAUUAUUUCCCAUAAUUCCCCAUUAUUCCCCAUAAUUCCCCAUUUCCCUAUAAUUCCCAUUAUCCCCAUUUUCCCCAUUAGUCCCCAUUAUUUCCCAUUAUUCCCCAUUAUUUCCCCAAAUUCCCAUAAUUCCCAUUAUUCCCCAUUAUUCCCAUUAGUCCCCAUUGUUUCCCAUUAUUCCCAUUAUUCCCAUUAUUCCCAUUAUUUCCCAUUGUUUCCCAUUAUUCCCAUUACUCCCCGUAAUUCCCAUAUUCCCCAUUAUUUCCCAUUAUCCUCAUUAUUCCCAUAUCCCCAUUAUCCCCAUUAUUCCCCAUUAUUCCCCAUUAUUCCCAUUAUUCCCCGUAAUUCCCAUAAUUCCCAUUGUUCCCCAUUGUUCCCCAUUUCCCCAUUACCCCCAUUAUCCCCAUCAACCCCAUAAUU